This is a non-coding RNA of Hypoxylon sp. FL1150, 119 nucleotides long. The record is from the annotation of a GenBank genome assembly. NCBI's taxonomy places the organism in Eukaryota, Fungi, Ascomycota, Sordariomycetes, Xylariales, Hypoxylaceae.
GGCAAGAUGGCCGAGCGGUCUAAGGCGCUAGACUCAAGAAAUUCAAUUCUCUCUUACCCUCUCUUAAGGGGUGUAUUCUAGUCUCGAAAGAGGCGGGGGUUCGAAUCCCCCUCUUGUCA